CUUUUUUUGUUUUAUUUUUUUUAUAUUAUUUUUGUAAAAUGUUUUAAUUUUAUUAUAUUUUUAAAGAUAUUGAAAAUUUGUUUGUUGAACUGGAUUAGUACCCAGGUAAUCAAAAUUUAUUAAUUCGGGAGUAAAGUUUUGUUUAAACCGAAAAAAUAUUGACUGACUUUAGAUUUUUCUUUGGAACAUGUGUAUGGAGAGUCCUCUUUUUUAGUGAGUUUUAUUGGCACAUGUAUGAUUGUUUAGUUUUUAUGUUAUUUUGUGAUGCUUUUUUUUGUUUAAUUGAAAAACAGAUAUAUAUUUGGUUUAUAAGCUUGUUAAUCAUGUGUUACUAUUAUUAAUUUUUUUUGGAUCUUUUUUUUAAUAUUUUGUGAAAUUGGAAAAGAAAGUAAUUAAAUUUUGAUAUUUUGAUGAAUUUAAUAAAUAAA
This 428-nucleotide ribosomal RNA is filed under the name Loa loa (African eye worm). RNAcentral's name for it is "partial 12S ribosomal RNA". Lineage: Eukaryota; Metazoa; Nematoda; Chromadorea; Rhabditida; Onchocercidae. The record is from RNAcentral.